This is a small nuclear RNA of Pygocentrus nattereri (red-bellied piranha), 155 nucleotides long. Its record names the gene U1. It matches the Rfam family "U1 spliceosomal RNA". Rfam says of the family: U1 is a small nuclear RNA (snRNA) component of the spliceosome (involved in pre-mRNA splicing). The record is from Ensembl. Lineage: Eukaryota; Metazoa; Chordata; Actinopteri; Characiformes; Serrasalmidae.
AUACUUACCUGGCAGGGGUGCGAUACCAUGAUCAUGAAGGUGGUUCACCCAGGGCGAGGCUCUGCUCUGGUGCUGACCCUUGCGAAUUCCCCAAAUGCGGGAAUCUCGACUGCAUAAUUUCUGGUAGUGGGGGACUGCGUUCGCGCUCUCCCCUG